Molecule: ribosomal RNA, 847 nt
Filed under: uncultured Acidobacteriaceae bacterium
Lineage: Bacteria; Pseudomonadati; Acidobacteriota; Terriglobia; Terriglobales; Acidobacteriaceae
Description: bacterial SSU rRNA
Rfam family: Bacterial small subunit ribosomal RNA
Source: RNAcentral
CAAGUCGAACGAGAAAGUGGAGCAAUCCAUGAGUAAAGUGGCGCACGGGUGAGUAACACGUGACUAACCUACCCUGGAGUGGGGGAUAACUGAGGGAAACCUUAGCUAAUACCGCAUAACACCUACGGGUCAAAGGAGCAAUUCGCUUCAGGAGGGGGUCGCGGCCGAUUAGUUAGUUGGCAGGGUAAUGGCCUACCAAGACGAUGAUCGGUAUCCGGCCUGAGAGGGCGCACGGACACACUGGAACUGAAACACGGUCCAGACUCCUACGGGAGGCAGCAGUGGGGAAUUUUGCGCAAUGGGGGAAACCCUGACGCAGCAACGCCGCGUGGAGGAUGAAGUCCUUCGGGACGUAAACUCCUUUCGAUCGGGACGAUUAUGACGGUACCGGAAGAAGAAGCCCCGGCUAACUUCGUGCCAGCAGCCGCGGUAAUACGAGGGGGGCGAGCGUUGUUCGGAAUUAUUGGGCGUAAAGGGUGCGUAGGCGGUUUGGUAAGUCUUAUGUGAAAUCUACAGGCUCAACUUGUAGUCUGCAUGAGAAACUGCCGGGCUUGAGUAUGGGAGAGGUGAGUGGAAUUCCUGGUGUAGCGGUGAAAUGCGUAGAUAUCAGGAGGAACACCUGUGGCGAAAGCGGCUCACUGGACCAUAACUGACGCUGAUGCACGAAAGCUAGGGGAGCAAACAGGAUUAGAUACCCUGGUAGUCCUAGCCCUAAACGAUGACUGCUUGGUGUGACGGGUACCCAAUCCCGCCGUGCCGUAGCUAACGCGUUAAGCAGUCCGCCUGGGGAGUACGGUCGCAAGGCUGAAACUCAAAGGAAUUGACGGGGGCCCGCACAAGCGGUGGA